GCGGCGUGCUUAACCAUGCAAGUCGAACGGACUUAAGGGGCUUGCUUCUUAAGUUAGUGGCGCACGGGUGAGUAAUAUAUAGCUAACCUGCCCUUUAGUGGGGGACAACAGUUGGAAACGGCUGCUAAUACCCUAUACUCCUUCUUGCCUUAAGGUGAGUCGGGAAAGAUUUAUCGCUAAAGGAUGGGGCUUUAUUGUAUCAGCUAGUUGGUGAGGUAAUGGCUCACCAAGGCUAUGACGCAUACCUGGUCUGAGAGGAUGAUCAGGCACACUGGAACUGAGACACGGUCCAGACUCCUACGGGAGGCAGCAGUGGGGAAUAUUGCACAAUGGAGGAAACUCUGAUGCAGCAACGCCGCGUGGAGGAUGACGCAUUUCGGUGUGUAAACUCCUUUUAUAGGGGAAGAUAAUGACGGUACCCUAUGAAUAAGCACCGGCUAACUCCGUGCCAGCAGCCGCGGUAAUACGGAGGGUGCAAGCGUCACUCGGAAUCACUGGGCGUAAAGGAUGCGUGGGCUGGAAAUCAAGUCGAAAGUGAAAUCCAACGGCUCAACCGUUGAACUGCUUGCG
RNAcentral lists this ribosomal RNA (570 nucleotides) under uncultured Campylobacterota bacterium. RNAcentral describes it as "bacterial SSU rRNA". It matches the Rfam family "Bacterial small subunit ribosomal RNA", at positions 39 to 629 of the family's 1533-position model. The record is from RNAcentral. Lineage: Bacteria; Pseudomonadati; Campylobacterota.